This 253-nucleotide ribosomal RNA is filed under the name uncultured bacterium. RNAcentral's name for it is "partial 16S ribosomal RNA". It matches the Rfam family "Bacterial small subunit ribosomal RNA", at positions 524 to 776 of the family's 1533-position model. The record is from RNAcentral.
UACGUAGGUGACAAGCGUUGUCCGGAUUUACUGGGCGUAAAGGGCGCGCAGGCGGUCGUUCAAGUCGAGUGUGAAAGCCCCCGGCUCAACUGGGGAGGGUCAUUCGAUACUGAUCGACUCGAAGGCAGGAGAGGGAAGUGGAAUUCCCGGUGUAGUGGUGAAAUGCGUAGAUAUCGGGAGGAACACCAGUGGCGAAGGCGACUUCCUGGCCUGUUCUUGACGCUGAGGCGCGAAAGCUAGGGGAGCAAACGGG